Molecule: ribosomal RNA, 411 nt
Filed under: uncultured bacterium
Lineage: Bacteria
Description: bacterial SSU rRNA
Rfam family: Bacterial small subunit ribosomal RNA
Source: RNAcentral
GCGGACGGGUGAGUAACGCGUGAGCAACCUGUACCCAGACAGGGGGAUAACACUUGGAAACAGGUGCUAAUACCGCAUAAGACCACAGUAGGACAUCCUACAGGGGUAAAAGGAGCAAUCCGGUUUGGGGUGGGCUCGCGUCCGAUUUAGAUAGUUGGUGAGGUAACGGCCCACCAAGUCGACGAUCGGUAGCCGACCUGAGAGGGUGAUCGGCCACAUUGGAACUGAGAGACGGUCCAAACUCCUACGGGAGGCAGCAGUGGGGAAUAUUGGGCAAUGGGCGAAAGCCUGACCCAAGCAACGCCGCGUGAGUGAAGAAGGCCUUCGGGUUGUAAAGCUCUGUUAUAGUUGACGAAGGAAGUGACGGUAGGCUAUAAGGAAAGCCCCGGCUAACUACGUGCCAGCAGCUGC